Molecule: ribosomal RNA, 460 nt
Filed under: uncultured bacterium
Lineage: Bacteria
Description: partial 16S ribosomal RNA
Rfam family: Bacterial small subunit ribosomal RNA
Source: RNAcentral
CCUACGGGAGGCUGCAGUGAGGAAUAUUGGUCAAUGGACGAGAGUCUGAACCAGCCAAGUAGCGUGAAGGAUGACUGCCCUAUGGGUUGUAAACUUCUUUUAUAUGGGAAUAAAACGUGCCACGUGUGCCAUUUUGCAUGUACUUUAUGAAUAAGGAUCGGCUAACUCCGUGCCAGCAGCCGCGGUAAUACGGAGGAUCCGAGCGUUAUCCGGAUUUAUUGGGUUUAAAGGGAGCGUAGAUGGGUUGUUAAGUCAGUUGUGAAAGUUUGCGGCUCAACCGUAAAAUUGCAAUUGAAACUGGCAGUCUUGAGUACAGUAGAGGUAGGCGGAAUUCGUGGUGUAGCGGUGAAAUGCUUAGAUAUCACGAAGAACCCCGAUUGCGAAGGCAGCUUACUGGACUGUAACUGACACUGAGGCUCGAAAGUGUGGGUAUCAAACAGGAUUAGAUACCCGAGUAGUC